Non-coding RNA from Schistosoma mattheei, 46 nucleotides. Lineage: Eukaryota; Metazoa; Platyhelminthes; Trematoda; Strigeidida; Schistosomatidae. The record is from Rfam.
GCACUGCUUAGGAGUCCCACAAUAGGACGAAACGGCCGUUCAGUGC